UUUGAAAAAUCAAUUAGACACUGCCUUAAUGCACUCGAUUGUCAAAGGUACACAAUCGAUUAUUUUAUGACUUUGAAAAUAUCUGAUAGACACUGCAUCAACACAAUCGAUUGUCAUAAGUUCACAAUCGAUUAUUUUGUAGCUUUGAAAAACUUUGAUGUACACUGCCUCAACACAAUCGAUUGUCAUAAGGUUCACAAUCGAUUGUCAUG
RNAcentral lists this long non-coding RNA (212 nucleotides) under Nicotiana benthamiana. Its description in RNAcentral is "long non-coding RNA (NBEN_LNC018036)". Lineage: Eukaryota; Viridiplantae; Streptophyta; Magnoliopsida; Solanales; Solanaceae. The record is from RNAcentral.